GUGCUUGAUGGACUUCAACGCUUCAUAUCGAGCCCAAUAAUGAUUAUGAAUAGCACGAAUUUCCCUCGCAGAAUAGUUGAAUUUCUUCAAUAAUUUAUAGCUCUAAGUGAGCUUGACGAUGCUGCGGUACAUUUUCAUGAAGAGGGACGCAAUAGUAUUAACAAUUUGUCUCGCAUGUAUGUCAAUCUUAUGGAAUUCUGGUUACGUGGUGGCAGGAGGAAGUAGUUAUAAACCAAGGUGGAAAGCCAACUCCAGAUGUUCUCCUCCUAAAGGUGGAUGCGCAAAACCAACGAGUACCCACGAUUUCAUGAUGUACUUUGCACAGGAAGAUGGAAGCGCCUGUUACGCUAUUCAAACAAGCAAUUGCUUCGGGAAAGGUUAUCCGAAAGAUAGCAUGUGCAGAAACAAGUGCGGAAUAAAGAGGAAAUGACAAGACUGCCACCAGUGUACAGUUGUUCUGAGUGAUAUUAAAAAGCUUCAUCACU
Rhipicephalus sanguineus (brown dog tick) is the source of this 485-nucleotide long non-coding RNA. RefSeq lists it as uncharacterized. The record is from RefSeq and is a predicted model, not a curated record. The transcript is spliced from 3 exons. Lineage: Eukaryota; Metazoa; Arthropoda; Arachnida; Ixodida; Ixodidae.